RNAcentral lists this ribosomal RNA (401 nucleotides) under Crustacea environmental sample. RNAcentral describes it as "partial small subunit ribosomal RNA". It matches the Rfam family "Eukaryotic small subunit ribosomal RNA", at positions 30 to 432 of the family's 1831-position model. The record is from RNAcentral. Lineage: Eukaryota; Metazoa; Arthropoda.
GCUUGUCUCAAAGAUUAAGCCAUGCAUGUCUAAGUACAAGCCUCAGUAAGGUGAAACCGCGAAUGGCUCAUUAAAUCACACCUAAUCUACUGGAAAGUUACUAGUUACUUGGAUAACUGAGGUAAUUCUUGAGCUAAUACAUGCGAAAAAUCUCGACUCACGGAGAGAUGCUUUUAUUAGAUCAAAACCAAACGGCUUCGGCCGUCUCAUUGGUGACUCUGAAUAACUUUGGGCUGAUCGUAUGGCCUUGUGCCGACGACGUUUCCUUCGAAGGUGUGCCCUAUCAACUUUCGAUGUUUGGGUAUUGGCCAAACAUGGUUGCAACGGGUAACGGAGGGUUAGGGCUCGACCCCGGAGAAGGAGCCUGAGAAACGGCUACUACAUCCAAGGAAGGCAGCAGG